GGCUUCUGAAUACUUUUUUUCAGACUUUUCCCUUACAAAAAAUAUAAACCCCUACAAAAAUGUCCCUUCAUUAGAAUCCACAUAACAAUUAACAUUUCCUAUUGCUGCAGGAUUAUUUUCCUGCUUUAGGAAACUGGCUCAAAUUAAGAUCCUACACAUCUGUAUUCCUCAUCUAGGGCCAAAAGUAGUGGACUACAUAGGGAAUAGGGUAUUAUUUAAGACCUAGCCUUUGUAAGGUCUAUGACAGUGUAUCCAGUAACACUCUCCAUUCAUUGUAACAGUCCUGUGCUGUCCACAUUACUAUUUGACUACACAUGAGGUGUCUCAGUUCUGAGGGGAGAAUGGAUGAAACAUGAGGUGUCUCAGUUCUGAGGGGAGAAUGGCUGAAACAUGAGGUGUCUCAGUCCUGAGGGAAGAAUGGAUGAAACAUAGGUGUCUCAGUCCUGAGGGAAGAAUGGAUGAAACAUAGGUGUCUCAGUUCUGAGGGGAGAAUGGAUGAAACAUAGGUGUCUCAGUUCUGAGGGGAGAAUGAGGGGCCAGAGUUAGCCUAAAGAGUUUGGCCAACUUGGUUUAAGAUUUUCAAGCUUUUAACAGGCACCGUGUCAGACCCCAAAAACCUCCAAAACAAAAACUGUCCUCCUGAUAUUUCAACCUGUUAUUAUACUGCUCUGCUUUAAAUAGGAUACUAUUAAUGAUUGUACUGUUAUUACUACUACUGGUCAGUACCAUCACGGUAUACAGCGGACAGACAGACAGUCUGGAUUAUCAUCUGUAUUUUAAAAUCACAGAUUAUUUUUGACCUGGUUGGUUUCCACUCAUCUCCGAACCAAGAACCAAAUCUCGUGUGUGCUGGCCAGCUAGUCGGUUGGGGUAAAUGUCUGUCACGACUCACGAGACAUCCGGUUACUAAGUGACUAGGUAACAUCUAAGUGACAUAAAAUGGCUGACAUCACUGGAAUCUCAGAUGAAAAUCGCCAGCAGCAGCUUUUCCUAUGGAAUGAAUGAAUGAGCCAAAACUGCAACACAGUGUUUAGUUUACUAGCCACUGGUAUCAACACAGCUUUAUAUUCACGCAAACUAAAGGAAAGGUCUUCUAUGUGUUUCUGAUAAUUAAUGUAAUUGAAUGAAUAUGCUACAAUACCUCUGCUGGUGAUGAUGACGGUGUUGGUGGUACUGAUGGUGAAUGUUACCAAUAAUAAAGUCAACCUGCUUGAUAUACCAGGAUA
Molecule: long non-coding RNA, 1226 nt
Organism: Coregonus clupeaformis (lake whitefish)
Lineage: Eukaryota; Metazoa; Chordata; Actinopteri; Salmoniformes; Salmonidae
Exons: 2
Source: RefSeq, a predicted model, not a curated record